GUACACCGAUGUGCCACCCGAGAAGACGGGCACAACAGCGACGUGGAUGGACGUCUCCCCGGAGCCCUCCACCUCCUCCGAUAACCCCGGAGAAGGUGAAGGGCCCUCCUUGACCCACGUCUCUGCGGACGCCGCUGUCAAACCGGUGGCGACCAGCAGUGACGACGAGUGCGUGUUGGGGAUGGGAGACAUCCGACUGAGCGAGGACGUGGACGAGGAGCUGCUAUCUUCUGAUGGCGGUUUCCCCCUCGCUCAGUAAACUUCACAUCGUCCAGAGCAACCUCCACAAAUAAAUGGACUCUCACAUCAGAGAGAGACCUGUGUGCCGUAAAGCUUUUAGCUGACGCCGCCACGGGUCUGCCUGAAGUGGUGCUCGCCUCUGUCUAUAUGGCGGAGACUGAUGUGCCACCACCGCAGGAAAUGGUACAGCUAAUCAACUACUGCGAGCAGAACGGCCAGAAUAUCAUCGUGACUACUGACUCCAAUGCCCACCAUCCGUUGUGGGGCAUGGAACUCGCAAAUGAUAGAGAUGUAAAACUAUUAUAGACCUAACCC
Molecule: long non-coding RNA, 555 nt
Organism: Hyposmocoma kahamanoa
Lineage: Eukaryota; Metazoa; Arthropoda; Insecta; Lepidoptera; Cosmopterigidae
Exons: 3
Source: RefSeq, a predicted model, not a curated record